CACUGCUACUGGUAAGCAACAAAACUCCCUCUCUCGAUGUUGUUUAAACUUUUCACGGCUUUUUCCAGUAGUAACAAAAUAACCCAUAACAGAGAGAAAGCUCCACGACUUCAACAUUUCUGGAGAAAGCUGCUGCCGGAGAAGUAACGUUAGGACACAGAACAAGUCUGUGACUGACUUAAUGAACCCAGUUGCUUUGGAUCAUGCUCAAAGAUGUA
Molecule: long non-coding RNA, 218 nt
Organism: Rhinichthys klamathensis goyatoka
Lineage: Eukaryota; Metazoa; Chordata; Actinopteri; Cypriniformes; Leuciscidae
Exons: 3
Source: RefSeq, a predicted model, not a curated record